UACGUAGGGUGCGAGCGUUGUCCGGAAUUAUUGGGCGUAAAGAGCUCGUAGGCGGUGUGUCACGUCGUUCGUGAAAACCUGCAGCUUAACUGUGGGCGUGCGGUCGAUACGGGCAUCACUGGAGUUCGGCAGGGGAGACUGGAAUUCCUGGUGUAGCGGUGAAAUUCGUAGAUAUCGGGAGGAACACCAGUGGCGAAGGCGGCGACCUGGGCCAAUAUUGACGCUGAGGUGCGAAAGCGUGGGGAGCAAACAGG
This 254-nucleotide ribosomal RNA is filed under the name uncultured bacterium. Its description in RNAcentral is "partial 16S ribosomal RNA". It matches the Rfam family "Bacterial small subunit ribosomal RNA", at positions 524 to 776 of the family's 1533-position model. The record is from RNAcentral.